RNAcentral lists this ribosomal RNA (467 nucleotides) under uncultured bacterium. RNAcentral's name for it is "partial 16S ribosomal RNA". It matches the Rfam family "Bacterial small subunit ribosomal RNA", at positions 28 to 506 of the family's 1533-position model. The record is from RNAcentral.
GACGAACGCUGGCGGCGUGCUUAACACAUGCAAGUCGAACGGAAAGGCCCUGCUUUUGUGGGGUGCUCGAGUGGCGAACGGGUGAGUAACACGUGAGUAACCUGCCCUUGACUUUGGGAUAACUUCAGGAAACUGGGGCUAAUACCGGAUAGGAGCUCCUGCUGCAUGGUGGGGGUUGGAAAGUUUCGGCGGUUGGGGAUGGACUCGCGGCUUAUCAGCUUGUUGGUGGGGUAGUGGCUUACCAAGGCUUUGACGGGUAGCCGGCCUGAGAGGGUGACCGGCCACAUUGGGACUGAGAUACGGCCCAGACUCCUACGGGAGGCAGCAGUGGGGAAUAUUGCACAAUGGGCGGAAGCCUGAUGCAGCAACGCCGCGUGCGGGAUGACGGCCUUCGGGUUGUAAACCGCUUCCGCCUGUGACGAAGCGUGAGUGACGGUAAUGGGUAAAGAAACACCGGCUAACUACGU